GCAACCUAAUCCCCAUUCUCCAGAGCACUUGGCUUCACUGGCAAAAGCAAACGAAAUAAUCUCUCUACUCACCAGAUCCCCACGCAGAAAUCUCAGAGUCUAUGACCUCUCCCUCCCCAUUAGCCAGGCACUAGCCAUGGAAAGGAGAAAAGUGUGACUCAGUCCUUGAUCCCGUGGGAAGAGACAGCAUCUAUUCAUCAAAGGACAAAUAAAAAUGAAGUGAUCUUGAGCUGAGUGUCAGAGAAACAAGAGAGAUCACACUCCAUUGGCAUAUGCAGGUCUUUGAGAGCAGAAAAGCAAGAAGGCUGAGCUCCAUCUUCUAAGUCUCUUCAGUGCGAUGAAAACAUGAGGUCGGAACUGUCAAGAGGAGCAAGCAGAAUUCCUCCACGGCAUCAGGCAGAGAUUUGUGGGAAGAGUGUUUUUUGUAUUGUUCAAAGGCUUCAUCUUGUGGUUCCUCUGUAAGGCAAAAAGGAGUGAGGAGCUGGAUAAAGCCUGUGGCCAAAAUGAAGCAUCAUUUCCUACUUGGGCUAGAUAUAUUUGCUUUGAGUCAAAAGAAUUUUUGAUCAACACAAAAUUUAAGCAAUGUGAUCCUCGAGAUCAAGUUCAGAGUAAAAAUGGUAGAAGGCAGAAGAGACAAGGAGAAAAAAAUAUUUCAAAGCAGACACUUUGCCCAGACCCGGUUUAAACUCGGGUUCCAGCCACAAACCACAAUCUCUUCUGCAUCUCAGAUCUCCCAAGACAGAAAUUUGGGAAGACCGUUUAAAACUAAAACUCUCAAAG
Molecule: long non-coding RNA, 780 nt
Filed under: Equus caballus (horse)
Lineage: Eukaryota; Metazoa; Chordata; Mammalia; Perissodactyla; Equidae
Description: lncRNA (ENSECAG00000052849.1)
Source: RNAcentral